AGAGUUUGAUCCUGGCUCAGAAUCAACGCUGGCGGCGUGCCUAACACAUGCAAGUCGAACGAGAAAGGGUAGCAAUACCUGAGUAAAGUGGCGCACGGGUGAGUAACACGUGACUAACCUACCCUGGAGUGGGGGAUAACUGAGGGAAACCUUAGCUAAUACCGCAUAACACCUACGGGUCAAAGGAGCAAUUCGCUUCAGGAGGGGGUCGCGGCCGAUUAGUUAGUUGGCGGGGUAAUGGCCCACCAAGACGAUGAUCGGUAUCCGGCCUGAGAGGGCGCACGGACACACUGGAACUGAAACACGGUCCAGACUCCUACGGGAGGCAGCAGUGGGGAAUUUUGCGCAAUGGGGGAAACCCUGACGCAGCAACGCCGCGUGGAGGAUGAAGUCCUUCGGGACGUAAACUCCUUUCGAUCGGGACGAUUAUGACGGUACCGGAAGAAGAAGCCCCGGCUAACUUCGUGCCAGCAGCCGCGGUAAUACGAGGGGGGCGAGCGUUGUUCGGAAUUAUUGGGCGUAAAGGGUGCGUAGGCGGUUUGGUAAGUCUUCUGUGAAAUCUAUGGGCUCAACUCAUAGACUGCAUGAGAAACUGCCGGGCUUGAGUGUGGGAGAGGUGAGUGGAAUUCCUGGUGUAGCGGUGAAAUGCGUAGAUAUCAGGAGGAACACCUGUGGCGAAAGCGGCUCACUGGACCAUAACUGACGCUGAUGUACGAAAGCUAGGGGAGCAAACAGGAUUAGAUACCCUAGUAGUCC
This 756-nucleotide ribosomal RNA is filed under the name uncultured bacterium. RNAcentral describes it as "bacterial SSU rRNA". It matches the Rfam family "Bacterial small subunit ribosomal RNA", at positions 8 to 796 of the family's 1533-position model. The record is from RNAcentral.